RNAcentral lists this long non-coding RNA (189 nucleotides) under Chinchilla lanigera (long-tailed chinchilla). Its description in RNAcentral is "DAOA antisense RNA 1 conserved region 2 (ENSCLAG00000021066.1)". It matches the Rfam family "DAOA antisense RNA 1 conserved region 2". The record is from RNAcentral. Lineage: Eukaryota; Metazoa; Chordata; Mammalia; Rodentia; Chinchillidae.
CUGAGAAAUAUUAGCCAGCCUCAGAAAAAGUCUGCUCCAGGGCAAGACUUUACAAGUUGCUUUUAUUUUAUAUCAUCUGUACUCGCUUCUACAUUGAGCUUCUCAGGGUUUCACCAAGUUCCUUUGCUGCUAAGACCCCGUAAGAGUCAAGGCCUUCUGCAAAGAUAUUCCUCUGAGAAGCUCAGUAAC